This is a long non-coding RNA of Bufo gargarizans (Asiatic toad), 325 nucleotides long. RefSeq lists it as uncharacterized. The transcript has 4 exons. The record is from RefSeq and is a predicted model, not a curated record. Lineage: Eukaryota; Metazoa; Chordata; Amphibia; Anura; Bufonidae.
GAAAUCCUUCAGCAGUCGCCGCCUAUGCCACAUUAGAUUGGCAUCAACCUUUGUGCCCAUUGUGGCCCUGCUGACCUUUUCUGUGUGUAUGACCAUCGGCUUCUUCCAGCUAUGUACUGGCCGAUGUGAAGAGAUCUACACCAGGACAGGCAUGGUGGCCGAGUGGACUGGAUUCCUUGGCCUGAUAAUACACCAACUAACGAACUAUACAGAUUUCCAGCGUUUGUCUUUAACGUUGUCCCGAGAAGGUGUCUCCAUUGGCCUGAGAGAAAAGACCCAGGACCCUGAAAACCCCCAAUAAGAUCCAAGGGGUGGAGCGCCAAGA